RNAcentral lists this ribosomal RNA (253 nucleotides) under uncultured bacterium. Its description in RNAcentral is "partial 16S ribosomal RNA". It matches the Rfam family "Bacterial small subunit ribosomal RNA", at positions 524 to 776 of the family's 1533-position model. The record is from RNAcentral.
UACGUAGGGUGCGAGCGUUGUCCGGAAUUACUGGGCGUAAAGAGCUCGUAGGUGGUUUGUCGCGUUGUUCGUGAAAACUCACAGCUUAACUGUGGGCGUGCGGGCGAUACGGGCAGACUGGAGUACUGCAGGGGAGACUGGAAUUCCUGGUGUAGCGGUGGAAUGCGCAGAUAUCAGGAGGAACACCGGUGGCGAAGGCGGUUCUCUGGGCCUGUACUGACGCUGAGGAGCGAAAGCGUGGGGAGUGAACAGG